UCACUUCUCUCAAGGGGAGGUUGCAGGAAGCUAGGAGCCUCGUCUCUAACUCCUACCAUUGCAUCCACAGAGCCAGAGCAUGGCCCCAACACAGACCUGCUUGGCACCUCACCCAAAGCCUCACUGGAACUGAAAAGCUCCAUCAUUGGCAAGAAGAAGCCAGCAGCAGCUAAGAAAGGGGUAGGUGGGGAGAGGGGUUAGCAGCUGGGUGCAGGCUACCUGGGUUUGCCCCUUGACCUUACCACUUACCGGCUAUAUGACUUUGGUAAAGGCACUGUGCUUCUCCGAAUUGAAGAUUGCUAUCUUCAAGGGCUGCUGGGAGGGGCCGGUGAGAUGGAGCACAUCUAGUGCUUAACGGAGUACUUGGCACAUACUUGGCCCUGUCAGCAUUAACUGCUGUCCUCAGGCUUGGGCUCUGCCGGGGCUGUGUGAGCCACCCACGCCCAGCUCCAGCAGAGGACUGUUCUCUUGGACAUGCUGGUUGGGCUUCUAUUUUUUACCCUAAACUUUAAGAAGGGCCUUUUCCUGUGGGUGUGGCUAGAGUGCCUGAGCCUGGGAGGGAUUGGAGGAUAGCGAGAUUGGCAAAGUACCUUACCUUAUUAUCUUCCCAGCUGGGUGCCAAGAAAGGCCUAGGGGCCCAGAAGGUGAGCAGCCAGAGCUUCAACGAGAUUGAACGGCAGGCCCAGGUAGCAGAGAAGCUCCGAGAGCAGCAGGCAGCCGAUGCCAAGAAGCAGGCGGAGGAGUCCAUGUGAGUGUUUGCUGCCGGAGCCUCAGGCUCAUGUGGGGCUUGGGGGUGGGUAGGUUGGGCAGGUCAGGAUGGGUGGUGGCCGCUGACACCUUUGUUCUCUCUAAGGGUCGCCUCCAUGCAUCUGGCCUAUCAGGAGCUCCAGAUUGAUCGUAAGAAAGAGGAAAAGAAGCUACAGAAUCUGGAAGGGAAGAAGCGAGAGCAGGCAGAGAGGCUGGGCAUGGGCUUGGUAUCUCGAAGCUCUGUCUCCCACUCCGUGCUGUCUGAGAUGCAGGUGAUCGAGCAGGAAACCCCAGUGAGUGCAAAAUCUUCUCUCUCGCAGCUGGACUUGUUUGAUGAUGUUGGUACUUUCGCCUCUGGACCCCCCAAGUACAAGGACAACUCCUUUUCCUUAGGAGAAAGCUUUGGUUCCCGCUGGGAUACAGAUGCUGCCUGGGGUAUGGACAGGGUAGAGAAGGAGCCAGAAGUGACCAUCUCAAGCAUCCGGCCUAUUUCAGAACGGGCCACAAACCGGAGGGAGGUGGAGAGCCGGAGCACAGGCCUUGAGUCUAGUGAGGCACGUCAGAAAUUCGCAGGAGCCAAAGCCAUCUCAUCUGACAUGUUCUUUGGGCGGGAGGUGGAUGCGGAGGUAAACGGGGUUGUCUGCCCUGGGGCUGAGGCAGCGGGCAGAAGCAUGAGCUUUCUCCCUGCCUCUGCUUU
This 1444-nucleotide long non-coding RNA is filed under the name Aotus nancymaae (Ma's night monkey). Its description in RNAcentral is "lncRNA (ENSANAG00000039088.1)". The record is from RNAcentral. Lineage: Eukaryota; Metazoa; Chordata; Mammalia; Primates; Aotidae.